Molecule: non-coding RNA, 29 nt
Filed under: Rattus norvegicus (Norway rat)
Lineage: Eukaryota; Metazoa; Chordata; Mammalia; Rodentia; Muridae
Source: RNAcentral
UCAGAGGACAGCUUGAUAUUCGUGAACUU